GGAUCAUUAUCGAGUUACCGCUCCUUAUAACCCUUUGUGAACAUACCUCAAACGUUGCCUCGGCGGGCAGCCGGAGCCCAGCUCCGGCGCCCGGAGCCGCCUUCUCGGCGCGCCCCACCCGCCGGCGGACCACUAAACUCUAUUGCAACGACGUCUCUUCUGAGUGGUACAAGCAAAUAAUCAAAACUUUUAACAACGGAUCUCUUGGUUCUGGCAUCGAUGAAGAACGCAGCGAAAUGCGAUAAGUAAUGUGAAUUGCAGAAUUCAGUGAAUCAUCGAAUCUUUGAACGCACAUUGCGCCCGCCAGCAUUCUGGCGGGCAUGCCUGUUCGAGCGUCAUUUCAACCCUCAAGCACCGCUUGGCGUUGGGGCCCUACGGCUUCCGUAGGCCCCGAAAUACAGUGGCGGACCCUCCCGGAGCCUCCUUUGCGUAGUAACAUACCACCUCGCACUGGGAUCCGGAGGGACUCCUGCCGUAAAACCCCCCAAUUUAUCAAGGUUGACCUCGGAUCAGGUAGGAAUACCCGCUGAACUUAAGCAUAUCAAUAAGCGGAGGAAAAGAAACCAACAGGGAUUGCCUCAGUAACGGCGAGUGAAGCGGCAACAGCUCAAAUUUGAAAUCUGGCCCCCCGGGUCCGAGUUGUAAUUUGCAGAGGAUGCUUUUGGCGCGGUGCCUUCCGAGUUCCCUGGAACGGGACGCCAUAGAGGGUGAGAGCCCCGUACGGUUGGACACCAAGCCUAUGUAAAGCUCCUUCGACGAGUCGAGUAGUUUGGGAAUGCUGCUCAAAAUGGGAGGUAUAUUUCUUCUAAAGCUAAAUACCGGCCAGAGACCGAUAGCGCACAAGUAGAGUGAUCGAAAGAUGAAAAGCACUUUGAAAAGAGGGUUAAACAGCACGUGAAAUUGUUAAAAGGGAAGCGCUUGUGACCAGACUUGCGUCCGGUGAAUCACCCAGCUCUCGCGGCUGGGGCACUUUGCCGGCUCAGGCCAGCAUCAGCUUGCCGUCGGGGACAAAAGCUUCGGGAACGUAGCUCUCUUCGGGGAGUGUUAUAGCCCGUUGCACAAUACCCUUCGGCGGGCUGAGGUACGCG
RNAcentral lists this ribosomal RNA (1088 nucleotides) under fungal endophyte. Its description in RNAcentral is "eukaryotic LSU rRNA". The stretch from base 500 to 1088 matches the Rfam family "Eukaryotic large subunit ribosomal RNA", at positions 1 to 599 of the family's 3401-position model. The record is from RNAcentral. Lineage: Eukaryota; Fungi.